UACGGGGGGGGCGAGCGUUGUUCGGAAUUACUGGGCGUAAAGCGUGCGCAGGCGGUGAUGUAAGACAGUUGUGAAAUCCCCGGGCUCAACCUGGGAACUGCAUCUGUGACUGCAUCGCUGGAGUGCGGCAGAGGGGGAUGGAAUUCCGCGUGUAGCAGUGAAAUGCGUAGAUAUGCGGAGGAACACCGAUGGCGAAGGCAAUCCCCUGGGCCUGCACUGACGCUCAUGCACGAAAGCGUGGGGAGCAAACAGG
This 253-nucleotide ribosomal RNA is filed under the name uncultured bacterium. RNAcentral's name for it is "partial 16S ribosomal RNA". It matches the Rfam family "Bacterial small subunit ribosomal RNA", at positions 524 to 776 of the family's 1533-position model. The record is from RNAcentral.